Non-coding RNA from Brachypodium distachyon (stiff brome), 136 nucleotides. Lineage: Eukaryota; Viridiplantae; Streptophyta; Magnoliopsida; Poales; Poaceae. The record is from Rfam.
GACAUACUUCCUCCGUCCAACAAAGGAUGUCUCACCUUUGACUAAAUUUGAAUGCAUCUAUACACUAAGUCAUGUCUAGAUACAUCCAAAUUUUGACAAACUUGAGACAUCUUUUGUUGGACGGAGGGAGUAUGAU